This 202-nucleotide ribosomal RNA is filed under the name uncultured bacterium. RNAcentral describes it as "partial 16S ribosomal RNA". It matches the Rfam family "Bacterial small subunit ribosomal RNA", at positions 328 to 538 of the family's 1533-position model. The record is from RNAcentral.
ACGCUCGACACCUACGGGGGCAGCAGUCGGGAAUAUUGCGCAAUGGAGGAAACUCUGACGCAGUGACGCCGCGUGCAGGAAGAAGGUUUUCGGAUUGUAAACUGCUUUAGACAGGGAAGAGGAAGGACAGUACCUGUAGAAUAAGCUCCGGCUAACUACGUGCCUAGCAGCCGACGGUAAUCUGAGGCGGGCUGGACAAGGC